CAACAGCAGCAGCCGGCACAAGGUCCAGGCCUUCCUCAGAACAAAACCCCGACUCAGCAGCCGCAGGGCGGCAGCGCAGGUCCGCCGAAGAUGCAGUCUCCUCCGCCGAAGAACAUGAACGCGAAGCAGGAACCGGGAACCCCUCAGAAUCAAUUCAGAAAAAACCUGCCGAAGCCGGCCGCAGGAAACGGCCAGAAACCCACAAACAGCCAAGCUCCGCCGCCUCAGACUGAUCAACAGGGGGACAAACCGCAGGAAUUGAAGGCAACACUGUCGUUGCUGCGCAAACCUGGAGAGAAAACCUACACUCAGCGAUGCCGGUUGUUUAUUGGCAAUUUGCCCAAUGAUAUCUCAGAAGUGGAUUUCAGGAAGUUGUUUGCAAAAUAUGGAGAACCCAGUGAGAUCUUCAUCAAUCAAGGCAAAGGUUUUGGUUUCAUCAGACUGGAGUCACGUGCGUUAGCAGAGAUUGCAAAAGCUGAGCUGGAUGACACUCCCAUGAAAGGCAGACCUCUUAGGGUUCGCUUUGCAACCCACUCUGCUGCACUUUCUGUGCGCAACCUAUCCCCCUUUGUCUCCAAUGAGCUUCUAGAGGAGGCAUUCUCUCAGUUUGGAGUGGUCGAGAGGGCAGUGGUUAUCGUAGAUGACCGUGGGCGUUCGUCUGGGAAGGGCAUUGUUGAGUUUGCUACCAAGCCUGCUGCACGAAAGGCACUCGAUCGGUGCAAUGACGGCGUGUUCCUGCUCACAUCGUCACCACGUCCAAUUGUUGUUGAGCCGCUGGAACAGUAUGAUGAUGAGGAUGGUCUACCAGAGAAGCUUGCUCAGAAGAACCCAAAUUAUCAGAAAGAGAGAGAGCAGCCUCCACGUUUUGCCCGACCAGGCACGUUUGAGUUUGAAUACUCCCAACGAUGGAAGUCUCUUGACGACAUGGAGAAACAACAGAGGCAGCAGGUUGAGAAAAAUAUCCGUGAGGCUCGUGAGAAACUGGAAACGGAGAUGGAGGAUGCCUACCACGAGCACCAAGCUAAUCUGCUUCGACAGGAUCUUCUGAGGCGUCAAGAGGAACUGCGACGCAUGGAAGAGAUGCAUAAUCAGGAAAUGCAAAAACGCAAAGAGAUGCAGCUGAGGCAAGAGGAGGAGCGGCGUAGACGGGAGGAGGAAAUGAUGCGGCAGAGGGAAUUGGAAGAGCAGAUGAGGCGUAAGCGUGAGGAGUCCUACAGGAUGGGCAGCAGCUUCAUGGACAAUAGGGACAGGGAAAUGAGGAUGAAUCCUGGAGGAGGCCUUGGUUUGGCAGAUAUGCCUUUUGGCUCCCCCAGCCAGAAGUUUCAGUUUGCUGGAAUGAACUUCGAUGGUCACCAGGGCAUGGGUGGACCGGCGUCAGGGGGCAUGGUGCCCAACGAAAUGGAGCAUCAAGUGGUUGAGGCAGGCUGAGUGCCAGACCUUUUGAAAUAUGGUCAAUGGAUAAAUGUAGUCUAUGAAACCAGUACCUCUUGAGGCUCGCAUGGAUAUGAUCCUCAGGAAUAAAAGCUGCAGAGAAGGUGGCCGAAUUUACUGGACAGGAGUCAUAAGGAUGCAGAGUGCAGCAUUUGCGGACUUUGCAAAAUGAUUUGAACACUGUAAAAGAAGCUGUUGCUUUUGUAGAUGUUACCAGUGUUCUAAAUCUUUUUCCCCUAAUUUUACAUGCAAUUUGAAUUACAGUCUGACUAUCAUGCACCCAGAGUUACAGUCUCCAUGUACCUGGAACAGUUGCUUUUCCUGUUGUAUAGUUUCAAAACCAAAAGUCCCAGUACUCUGCAGUUUGGCAGCAUUUGUAGUGUUGUCUACAACAGGUUAAGUUCAAGAGGUUUGUGUUUCUCUUGUUUUAUCACUGUUGUAUCUUAUUGGGUUGCUGUUAAUUCUGGCACUGAUCCAGCGUCGAGGACCGGAGCCUGCAAGCUGAUAGCACGAAACAGAAGUUGCUGUGAAUGUGGGUCAAUGGUCCUGUCUGACCUGCAUUGUACAAUGGCCGGCGAUAGAGUUUCUGAAAUAAGUUUUUGAUUUUUUGAUUCUAAAAUAAAAAGUGUGAAGCAUC
RNA transcript from Colossoma macropomum (tambaqui), 2068 nucleotides. It is a transcript of the gene named splicing factor, proline- and glutamine-rich-like, with no coding region annotated. NCBI's taxonomy places the organism in Eukaryota, Metazoa, Chordata, Actinopteri, Characiformes, Serrasalmidae. The transcript has 12 exons. The record is from RefSeq and is a predicted model, not a curated record.